AGUUCCUUAGGAUUCCAACUGAAAAGCUCCAUUUCUUCCAUUUCUCUCAGAAACCAUCUCUCUAAAAUGAAAAGACCUCUCUGUCUCUCACAUUUUUCUCUCAUUUCCCCAAUUCAUCUCUGCUCUCUUCUUCAUUACUCUCAAAAACGCAAAAACCUUAUGUCUUUUUAGAAAUCAGCCUCAUCCUCUCUCGUAUUUCUCAACCUCAUUUCUCCCUCAGCCGCUCAACCACAUACGCGUGCGGGACCUUCUUUCAUACAGCAACACAACCACACACACUCUCCUCCGCAAGAACGCCAAAACCAACGCCUCUGCCAUGGAAAUGGUAGCACAUUUGAAGUUUAAAUCUGCUCAAAAAGGAUGUGGAUCUGCCGACGAAGCCAAGAAGAAUGACAAACAACAUGCAAGUAGCUCAGAUCCGAGACAGAAAGGGGUGCAAAGGUCGACGAUCUGGAAGCGGAACACUGACAAUGAAAAGGAACACUAGCUACAAUGCAAAUCUGGUGCCUGCAAAGAACACUCAGAGCCGUGACAGAUCUGAGAGAGAAAUCUCAAACUGAAAGUCCACUGGAUCAUGAAAAUCAAAGUGUCAUCAGUCUUUCUGUUGUGAACUGUGCAGGAUGACAGUCUGAUCCUGGAACAAAGGGAGAGAACAGGACAGCUCGGACAUCACAGAUCCACCUCCCAUACGAAGGGAAGGCGGAUCCAUGAUAGAUCCGUGGGAAGUAAAAUGGAUGGACAAACAGCAGCUUCAAUAGACAAAAAUGACACAAGCUUCCAAGAGCCCAGAUCGGUGAAUCUGGGAGGUAAAAUUUCAUAUCCUUGCAAGUUGAAUUGUUGUAUAUCUGGUAAUAAUAGCUGUACUCAGUUAUGUGGUGUAUGGAUCUGUGAUUUAAUUGUGCUUCCUCCAUGCAUCGCAAAACUGAGCUGCAGAAAAUUAACUGCUCUAAAUUAUGUUUCUGUGCUAGAUCUGCAACAAUCUCCCCCAAACUUGCAUCUGUGAAUGACUGUUUAUGUUGACUGCUUUAAAUUUCCAGCAUAGUGUAGAUGUGGUUGAUGUAACGGUAGACUUGCUGUUGGGUGCAGGAUUCCAGCAUAGGAUGCGCUUUAUUUUCCAUGUUUUCAACCUGCAAUUAACCAAUAAAUGCGAAUAUUAAAAACGGAGUUAAAAUCAACAUGCGUAAAUAAAGAAAGCGACAUAUUUUUAGAUUUUUCAUGGUUUUUUGUUUUUUGUUUUUUUUUGUUGAAAACUUAGGUGUAUAUAUAUGCAUCUAGAAAUUUAACUUAUAUAAAAAAAAUCAAACGAACAAAUAAAAUAAGGAAAAAGUUUAGAAAAAUUGGGUUGCCUCCCAACAAGCGCUUUAUUUUAAGUCUGUAGCUAGACGUUGCAGAAGUCCAGUGGCUAGAUCACUGGUGCCUUUAGAGUUGAUGACUUGCCUACACCAAAUUUUGCUAUGCAUGGUUAAGUUGAUGUCUGGUAACCUUAAAUGUGAAACCUGUAUCCUCAGCUUUGAUGUCCACGUUGCCAUUCUGAAAAACUUUAGUAACUAGAAAAGGGCCUUUCCAUCGAGACUCUUGUUUCCGUGGAGAUGAUUUGAAAUAGGAACUUAACAACCACACUUUUUUAUCAAGCUGUAUUUUCUUAAAAUUUGGGCUGCAUGGAAAAUUUUCAUGUUUUUUCAUAGUGUUAAUUGGCUGGUCAUCAUGUAGCACCCUUUGCUGCUGUGGUUUAGGACUUAUGCAAUCACGAGUCAAAUUCGGAGGUUUUAUGGACAGAUGGUCAAUUGAUGAUCUGCUUAUAAACUCGGCCCUUGGUACACCAUCCAAUGCAUCAACAUGCAUGCAUUCUUGCUUGUCACCUGAAUGUAAGCUUGCUUCAAACAACUUGAAAACAAUGGUUUGAUCUUCAACCCGGAAUGUUAAUGUUCCGGCUUCAACGUCAAUAAGAGUCCGGGCUGUUGCCAGAAAUGGGCUGCCCAAAAUGAUGGGUGUUGUCAAAUCCUUAUCCAUGUCCAACACCAUAAAAUCAGCCGGUAAAUAUAAAUUGUCAACCUUCACAAUAACAUCUUCAAUGACUCCUCUAGGGUAGGUAAUUGAACGGUCAGCCAAUUGAAUAAUACUGGAGGUUGGCUUCAGCUCACCUUCACCUAAACGUUUGAAAACAGAAUAAGGCAUUAAGUUUACACUAGCACCUAAAUCAAUUAAAGCACUUUUAAAAUCAGAAUUGCCAAUAGUACAAGAGAUAGUAAAACUCCCUGGAUCUUUUUUCUUUGGAGGCAAUUUAUGCAAUAAGACCGCACUGCAUUGUUCUGUUAGAAUUACUUUUUCAAAAUCAACGAGCUUCUUUUUCUUUGUGCAAAUAUCCUUCAAACAUUUGGCAUAAGAUGGAAUGUUCUUGAUUGCAUCAAUUAACGGUAGAUUAAUUUGAACUUUUGACAAAGUCUUCAUAAAAUCUGAUAACUGUUGAUCUUUAGCUUUAGGUCUCAACCUUUCUGGAUAAGGCAUAGGUGGCUCAUAAACACGUUCUGCAGUUUUUGUGGUAGCUUCUGCAGUAUUUUCGGAUCUGUCUUGGGACUGUCCAGACUCUGCAGAAAUUUCAGAAUCUGCAAAAAUUGCAGAUUUAGUUUGGGGUAGUUCUGCUGCCUGCGAAUUUCCAACAGAAUUUUCAUGUCUGUUGCUGUAACUUUUGCCAGACCGUAGAGUCUGUAUCACAUUGCAUUCUUCUCGUCCUCUUGGAUUAGGUACUGUUUGACUAGGAAAUGUACCCGUAGCUCUUUCUGAAACCUGUAAAGCAAUCUGCCCCAUUUGUUUUUCCAUGUUUUUCACUGCUGCCUGUAGAUUUUGAAUUUCUUGAGUGGUAAUAUUUGCCAAUUUUUCAAUUGCAACCUCCCAAGCAGCCUUAGGUGCAGCAGGUUGCUGUACCUGCCGUUGAAAUUGAGGUCUUGAGUGCUGAUCCUUGUCCCACUUUAAAUUAGGAUGAUCUCUCCAACCUGGGUUGUAGAAAUUUGAAUACGGGUCAUAUCUGGGACGUUGAAAAUUAUUAAAUGAAUUAACCUGCUCCGCUAUAAACUCCGGAUAAGCAUCUUUAUGUGGACAGCUCAAAAAAUCAUGAUUUGUCAAGCUGCAAAUGCUGCAUGCAACUUGUAAAGGUUGUUGUACGGCAACCUGUGAACCCGAAAUUCUUUGUAAUAACAUGUCAAAUUUUGCAUCAAAUCUUUCAAGCUUUUUCUCCAUUUUUUCAAUUUGUGCCGACACGUAUGGUGAACCAUUUGACAUCUCAAAAACGGAUCUAGAUUGUGGCUGCUCAACUGCCCAUUGUUGGGUAUCUGCUGCCAUUUUUUCAAAUAAUAAACAAGCCUCUUGUGCAUUUUUAUCUUUGUACGAACCUCCGCAUGAAGCGUUGACAAGAGUUUUUGUAGUCAUAUUUAACCCUCUGAAAAAUAUAUGCAUUUGAUCAGUAGUGUUAAUACCCGAAUGUGGACAUUUUCUAAUCAACUCUUUAAACCGCUCCCACGCCUCAUGAAACUCUUCAUUUGAUUUUUGGGCAAAUGAUAAAAUCUGAGUUCUCAUGUCAAGAGUCUUCGAAGCUGGAUAAUACUUGUUUAAAAAAAUUUCACUGAGUUGGGCCCAAGUUGUAAUGCUUCCAGAUGGGAGUGUGAGAAGUCAUCUCCUUGCUUGAUCUUUUAGAGUGUAUGGAAACAAACGAAGCUUAAUAGAUUCGGCUGAAAAUCCCCUCACCAAAAUAUUUUUGCAACCCAUAAAAAAUUCUGCAAUAUGCAUAUUAGGAUCAUCAGAUGAUAACCCAUGAAAUGUAGGUAGAAUAUUCAACAUGUGUUGUUUUAUUUCAAAUGAAGACCCUUCCUCCACUGCUGGAUAAGUAAUGCAACUUGGUAUAUUUGUGGUAUGGGCUGUCAGUGAAUCACCCAGAGGCAGACCAACCUCUGGAAUUACAAAUGCCAUUUUUUCUUUGCUGUGCAGGUCCCCAGAAAAGAAUGAUUGCAGAAAAGUCUCCUGCAGAGGACGAACCCUCUGCAAAGUUUACUCCUUGCGUUUCCUCCUCAAAUUCUGCUCAAGUUCUGGAUCAAGUGGAAUCAAUUUCUGCACUGUUGAAAGGGUGUUGACCAUGCACAGAUUUCUGAAAUCUGCACUGCUGUACUGUUGUAAUCUGUAAAAAUAAAAUAAAAACGAAAAUUAAAUUUUUUUUUUGGUUAUAUGUAUAAACAGCAAUAACUAAUUGAAAA
This is a long non-coding RNA of Malus domestica (apple), 4241 nucleotides long. RefSeq lists it as uncharacterized. NCBI's taxonomy places the organism in Eukaryota, Viridiplantae, Streptophyta, Magnoliopsida, Rosales, Rosaceae. The record is from RefSeq and is a predicted model, not a curated record.